Molecule: non-coding RNA, 29 nt
Filed under: Mus musculus (house mouse)
Lineage: Eukaryota; Metazoa; Chordata; Mammalia; Rodentia; Muridae
Source: RNAcentral
UGCCACAUCCUAGCCUUUCAAAUGGCAGC